UGGGGAAUAUUGGACAAUGGGCGCAAGCCUGAUCCAGCCAUGCCGCGUGAGUGAUGAAGGCCCUAGGGUUGUAAAGCUCUUUCACCGGUGAAGAUAAUGACGGUAACCGGAGAAGAAGCCCCGGCUAACUUCGUGCCAGCAGCCGCGGUAAUACGAAGGGGGCUAGCGUUGUUCGGAUUUACUGGGCGUAAAGCGCACGUAGGCGGACUUUUAAGUCAGGGGUGAAAUCCCGGGGCUCAACCCCGGAACUGCCUUUGAUACUGGAAGUCUUGAGUAUGGUAGAGGGGAGUGGAAUUCCGGGUGUAGAGGUGAAAUUCGUAGAUAUUCGGAGGAACACCAGUGGCGAAGGCGGCUCACUGGACCAUUACUGACGCUGAGGUGCGAAAGCGUGGGGAGCAAACAGG
This 404-nucleotide ribosomal RNA is filed under the name Actinomycetes bacterium. RNAcentral describes it as "Actinobacteria bacterium partial 16S ribosomal RNA". It matches the Rfam family "Bacterial small subunit ribosomal RNA", at positions 355 to 776 of the family's 1533-position model. Lineage: Bacteria; Bacillati; Actinomycetota; Actinomycetes. The record is from RNAcentral.